UACGUAGGGUGCAAGCGUUAAUCGGAAUUACUGGGCGUAAAGCGUGCGCAGGCGGUGAUGUAAGACAGUUGUGAAAUCCCCGGGCUCAACCUGGGAACUGCAUCUGUGACUGCAUCGCUGGAGUGCGGCAGAGGGGGAUGGAAUUCCGCGUGUAGCAGUGAAAUGCGUAGAUAUGCGGGAGGAACACCGAUGGCGAAGGGCAAUCCCCUGGGCCUGCACUGACGCUCAUGCACGAAAGCGUGGGGAGCGAACAGG
This 255-nucleotide ribosomal RNA is filed under the name uncultured bacterium. Its description in RNAcentral is "partial 16S ribosomal RNA". It matches the Rfam family "Bacterial small subunit ribosomal RNA", at positions 524 to 776 of the family's 1533-position model. The record is from RNAcentral.